CAUCAGCAGCAAGUAUGACAGUUGUUUCAUCAUAAAGGUCACUUAUUUCUGCUUUAGUCCAAGAGUAUAGAAAUGCUGGGUCUGAAUGAGAGAAAAUAAUAAAAAAAGAAAACAAUCAUAUGAUAUGAAGGCAAGUGUUUCUCAUUAAAUGUUUACCCAUAAAGGAAUACUAUAGUGUCAGAUAUACAAACACGUAUUCCUGACACUACAUAUUUUAACUAUUUUGGUCCCCAGUGCCCCUUAGAUCCCAGUAAUAUGGUGAUUUUACUCACCUUGUCUCCCACGCCGUGCCGGCCUUCCGCAUUUCACCUCCAUGACUGAGAUCAUCAAUCUUGAUGAUCUCAGCAAAUCCAAUGCUUUAACAUAGGAAAUAAUGUAUCAAUGCAUGCAAAGCGUGGAGAUGCUGAAUGCCUGUGCUACACACUGUGCAGCAUUGGACAAGGCAGCACAUCUAGUGGCAGUCUCAGUGACUGCCCCAGGAGGUGUUACUAGGCAGCAAUGUAAACACUCUCAUUUCUGUCAGUGCUGUAUUUAGUGCAAGGCUGACAAGGCAUUUGCCUUGGGCGGCACUUUCAGGGUGGCAGCAAAAAAUGCAGACCCAAAAGCCACAGCAGAUACCUUGUCUGCCUCUUGUCCUGGGGGCCCAAGAAGUGGUCGGCUGGCCACUUUGAGCCCCCCCCCCCGAUCUGAUUAGUUUGUAGGCGGGCGGCGAGGGAGCCCUUUCCCCUGAGCUCUUCCUGCUCUGCUCAGUGAAUGUGAGUCUGUCACUGAGAGUGUAUAUGUGUCUGUCACUGAGUGCGUCUGUCACUGAGUGCGUCUGUCGCUGAGUGCGUCUGUCGCUGAGUGCGUCUGUCGCUGAGUGCGUCUGUCGCUGAGUGCGUCUGUCGCUGAGUGCGUCUGUCGCUGAGUGCGUCUGUCGCUGAGUGUGUCUGUCGCUGAGUGCGUCUGUCGCUGAGUGCAUCUGUCGCUGAGUGCAUCUGUAUGUCUGUCUGCCAGUGAAUGUGUAGGUCUGUCAGCAUAGCCAAUCCUGGGCGGGUGCAUGGGGUGCACAGCGCCCAGGCGCUAUGUGAGAAGAGGCGCAUUGUGGCAUUUGGCCCCGCCCAUCUUGUUAAGACUCACUCUGCCUCCUGUCUGAAAGCCCUUUUGGGCUACUGGAAGACUGGUUGGCUGGGCUGGAUGGUGAGCACACACGGGGGAAGGGCUGCAUAAGGGAACAGGAGGGGAGGGGGGUUCAGGAGGGGAAGAGGGGUUAAAGAGGGCACAAAAGGGGUAGGGGCUAAAGAUGGCACAGUAAGGGCACAGGAGGGGAGGGAGGCGAAAGACUGCACAGGAGGGGAAAAGAGGACACAGAAGGUAGGAGGCUAAAGAAUGUACUGGAGAGAAGAAGGGCUACAUAAGAGCACAGGAGGGGAUAGGGGCUAAAGAGGGCACAGAAGGGGAGGGGGAUAAAAAAGAUACAAGAGGGGGUUUCAUAAGUGGAGAGGAGGAUAGAGGGGCAGGGCUAAAGAGACACAAAGAUGCUGGGGGAAAAAGGCACACAGAUGGGGCUGAGAUGGCACAAAGAGACAAACAGAAGGGCUGGUGGGACAAGGAGAAACAUAGAAGCACUUUGGGGCAAAGAGACACAGAGGGGCUGGGGAAGGGGAAAAAGACACACAAAGGAGUUAUGGGAGAAACAGAUGCACAAAUUUGCUGGGGGAGAAAGACGCACAAAGGGGCUGCGGUAGACAAAGAGGCACGCAGAAGGGCUGUGGGGAUGCACAGGCACAGAAGGGCUGGGGAGAGG
Molecule: non-coding RNA, 1786 nt
Organism: Pelobates cultripes (western spadefoot toad)
Lineage: Eukaryota; Metazoa; Chordata; Amphibia; Anura; Pelobatidae
Source: the annotation of a GenBank genome assembly